Molecule: unclassified non-coding RNA, 189 nt
Filed under: Archaeorhizomyces sp.
Lineage: Eukaryota; Fungi; Ascomycota; Archaeorhizomycetes; Archaeorhizomycetales; Archaeorhizomycetaceae
Description: partial contains small subunit ribosomal RNA, internal transcribed spacer 1, and 5.8S ribosomal RNA
Rfam family: Eukaryotic small subunit ribosomal RNA (bases 1-46)
Source: RNAcentral
AAGUCGUAACAAGGUCUCCGUAGGUGAACCUGCGGAGGGAUCAUUAACGAACGGCCCUCGGGCCCUCAACCUCAAACCCGUGGAAGCCAUGAUGUGCUUCGGCGCCUCCGAGCGCCGCCUUUAUGCAGACGUGAGUGUGUCUGAAUCAAAUCCGAGUCAAAACUUUCAACAAAGGAUCUCUUGGCUCUC